GUCGAGAAUCUUCCGCAAUGCGCGAAAGCGUGACGGAGCGACACCGCGUGAUGGAUGAAGUCCUUCGGGGCGUAAACAUCUUUUAUAAAGGAGGAAAUUUUUGACGUUACUUUAUGAAUAAGGGGCUCCCAAUCUCGUGCCAGCAGGAGCGGUAAUACGAGAGCCUCAAGCGUUAUCCGGAAUCAUUGGGCGUAAAGGGUGCGUAGGUGGUUUGAUUAGUCUCCCGUUAAAACUUCGAGCUUAACUCGAAAAGAGCGGGGGAAACGGUCAAACUAGAGUAUGUGAGAGGUGUGUGGAACUCAUGGUGUAGGGGUGAAAUCCGUUGAUAUCAUGGGGAACACCAAAAGCGAAGGCAGCACACUGGCACAUCACUGACACUGAGGCACGAAACCUAAGGUAGCGAAUGGGAUUAGAUACCCCAGUAGUCC
RNAcentral lists this ribosomal RNA (428 nucleotides) under uncultured bacterium. Its description in RNAcentral is "bacterial SSU rRNA". It matches the Rfam family "Bacterial small subunit ribosomal RNA", at positions 354 to 796 of the family's 1533-position model. The record is from RNAcentral.